RNAcentral lists this long non-coding RNA (3328 nucleotides) under Calidris pygmaea (Spoon-billed sandpiper). Its description in RNAcentral is "lncRNA (ENSCPGG00000009151.1)". Lineage: Eukaryota; Metazoa; Chordata; Aves; Charadriiformes; Scolopacidae. The record is from RNAcentral.
GCCCUUCAUCUGCUGUCAUGUCCCCUUCUUGUUUCAGGCUUAAAUUACAUUAUUCAAUAAAACAGUAAAAGAAAGUAUGUUUUAAUCGUUUCUUUUUUAUAAUUCCAGAUGGGAAGAAGCGAGAGGUAAAUCUUGGUGGAGGGACGCCUAGACAUUGUUUCUUUGAGCUGAUGCCUGGAACUGAAUAUAAAAUCAGUGUUCAUGCACAGCUUCAGGAGAUAGAGGGCCCUGCUGUAAGCAUCAUGGAGACAACAUUACCAUUUCCAACUCAACCACCAACAACACCUUCAACACCACCUCCACCACCUACAAUCCCUCCUGCGAAAGAGGUGUGCAAAGCAGCCAAAGCUGACCUAGCGUUCCUGGUGGAUGGGUCAUGGAGUAUUGGAGAUGACAAUUUCAAUAAAAUAAUCAGCUUUCUCUACAGCACUGUUGGAGCUUUGGAUAAGAUUGGUCCUGAUGGAACGCAGGUGGCGAUAAUUCAGUUCAGUGAUGAUCCCAGGACAGAAUUUAAAUUGAAUGCAUAUAAAACAAAAGAGACUCUUCUUGAAGCUAUUCAGCAAAUAGCCUACAAAGGAGGGAAUACAAAAACAGGCAAAGCCAUUAAACAUGCAAGAGAAGUCUUGUUUACGGGAGAGGCGGGCAUGAGGAGGGGCAUUCCGAAGGUUUUGGUUGUCAUUACUGAUGGGCGAUCACAGGACGAUGUGAACAAAGUCUCCAGAGAAAUGCAACUGGAUGGUUUCAGCUUUUUUGCUAUUGGAGUAGCUGAUGCUGACUAUUCGGAGUUAGUUAAUAUUGGCAGCAAACCCAGUGAAAGACAUGUCUUCUUUGUGGAUGACUUUGACGCCUUCACAAAGAUUGAAGAUGAGCUGAUCACUUUUGUUUGUGAAACUGCAUCAGCAACCUGCCCAUUGGUAGUUAAAGAUGGCAACAAUUUUGCAGGAUUUAAAAUGAUGGAAAUGUUUGGUUUGGUUGAAAAGGAGUUUUCAGCUGUGGAAGGGGUUUCAAUGGAACCCGGUACAUUUAAUGUUUACCCAUGCUACAGACUGCACAAGGAUGCCCUGGUAUCCCAGCCUACCAAGUAUUUGCAUCCUGAAGGUCUUCCUUCUGAUUACACCAUUACGUUUCUCUUUCGUAUCCUCCCCGACACACCUCAAGAGCCAUUUGCUCUUUGGGAGAUUUUAAAUGAAGCAUAUGAACCACUGGUUGGAGUUAUUUUAGAUAAUGGUGGCAAAACUCUGACUUUCUUUAACUACGACUACAAAGGAGAUUUUCAAACUGUCACGUUUGAAGGUCCUGAAAUAAGGAAGAUAUUUUAUGGGAGCUUUCAUAAGUUGCAUGUUGUUAUCAGCAAGACUACGGCUAAAAUAAUUAUUGACUGCAAGCAAGUGAGUGAGAAGACCAUUAAUGCAGCAGGGAAUAUCAGUUCUGAUGGCAUAGAAGUGCUGGGGAGGAUGGUCAGAUCCAGAGGACCAAGAGAUAACUCUGCACCACUGCAGUUACAGAUGUUUGACAUUGUUUGUGCUACCUCAUGGGCCAAUCGGGACAAAUGCUGUGAGCUUCCUGGCUUGAGAGAUGAAGAAAACUGUCCUGCCCUUCCUCAUGCUUGUUCCUGCUCAGAAGCUAAUAAGGGUCCCCUUGGACCUCCUGGUCCACCGGGUGGUCCAGGUGUCAGAGGUGCCAAAGGUCAUCGUGGCGAUCCAGGUCCAAAGGGACCAGAUGGACCUCGAGGUGAAAUUGGUGUUCCCGGACCACAAGGACCUCCAGGACCACAAGGACCCAGUGGACUUUCUAUUCAAGGGCUUCCAGGGCCACCAGGUGAAAAGGGAGAGAAGGGAGAUCUUGGUUUUCCUGGCCUGCAGGGUGUCCCAGGAGCAUCAGGUUCACCCGGAAGAGACGGAGCUCAAGGUCAAAGGGGCCUUCCUGGCAAAGAUGGACCCACAGGCCCACAAGGACCUCCUGGCCCAAUGGGCAUACCUGGUGCUCCAGGUGUUCCUGGUGUUACUGGAAGCCAGGGGCCACAAGGUGAUGUUGGAGCUCCUGGUCCUCCUGGAGCUAAGGGUGAAAGGGGUGAGCGGGGUGAUCUCCAGUCCCAAGCAAUGGUGCGUGCUGUUGCUCGGCAAGUGUGUGAGCAACUCAUCCAGGGUCAUAUGGCAAGAUAUAACUCAAUUCUGAACCAGAUUCCAAGCCAGUCUGUCUCAACCCGAACCAUCGCAGGACCCCCUGGUGAGCCAGGUCGGCCAGGGGCUCCAGGGCCACAAGGAGAACAAGGUUCCCCAGGCAUGCAAGGGUUUCCAGGAAGUCCCGGUCAACCAGGAAGACCAGGAGAAAGAGGUUUACCAGGCGAGAAGGGAGAAAAAGGCAAUCCAGGAGUUGGAACACAAGGACCCCGAGGCCCACCAGGAUCUACAGGACCUCCAGGAGAAAGUCGAACUGGCAGCCCGGGACCACCAGGUUCUCCAGGCCCACGAGGUCCCCCCGGCCACACGGGGCCCCCGGGUUCCCAGGGUCCUUCAGGCCCGCCGGGGUACUGCGACCCGUCCUCCUGCGCUGGCUACGGCAUGGGAGGUGGAUACGGUGAACCAACCGAUCAAGACAUCCCCGUAGUGCAGUUGCCACAUAACUCCUACCAAAUCUAUGACCCCGAGGACCUUUACGAUGAGUUCACUCCCGUUCGAGAAGAGCUGGAAGCCGUUGAACUGAGGUCCCCAGGAAUCAGUCGCUUCCCAAGGAAGGUAGCCAAAAGGAGCGUCAAGACUCCAGGACGCAAAAGGGCGAAUGGAAAAAAACCCUCUCAAUGAACUGUUUAAAAAAGGGAAACGUUUUAUGUGCAUCUGUGUUUGGCCUUUGUCCGGGUGCCUGACCUGGCACGGAAGAUGUUUACAGGCUCUUAUAUUAAAGGAGAAAAAAAAUGUACACGGCCAGUUGAUACAACAGCUAACGCUAAUUAUCUUGCAUGCCAGAAACGUAGUAUGUUAGUGGGUUGGUGCUAGAUGAUGAUGGAAGGUCACCUGUAGAUCUUUCUCUGGAGUGCUGUUCAUACACUACUCACACUGUAUCUAAACCCCACGCCCGGCGAGUCGGGGGGGCGUAGAACCAUUCGGAAAAGUUCCUGUUUUGUUAUCCAUGUGUUUCCAGUUGAUCAUGUUCCCUUAGUUUUGGCUGAACUGCUUUACUGCGGAGUAACCUGCCGAAAUUCACUGGAGAACGAGGCAUAUCCCGGUUCCCUUGGCGCCAGCUGUUACCAUUUCACAACUGAUCUUAUGGUAACGGAAUAUUUUUUUUUAACCCACCUUAUAUAAAUAAACUAGAAUGUUCUGUGGGAGCA